Molecule: long non-coding RNA, 144 nt
Organism: Thalassophryne amazonica
Lineage: Eukaryota; Metazoa; Chordata; Actinopteri; Batrachoidiformes; Batrachoididae
Exons: 2
Source: RefSeq, a predicted model, not a curated record
CCCCCGCCCCCGCCACACACACACACACACACACACACAGCAGUACGUUCUUCCAGCAGAUUGUAUUUAACGAGCCGAUGACAGCAGGUACAAAAGCAGCCAAUGAGGAAAAUGUUUCACAGUAUGAAGAGAAUACACUCCAGU